Schistosoma rodhaini is the source of this 45-nucleotide non-coding RNA. NCBI's taxonomy places the organism in Eukaryota, Metazoa, Platyhelminthes, Trematoda, Strigeidida, Schistosomatidae. The record is from Rfam.
AUUCAGCUGACGAGUCCAAAAUAGGACGAAACGUACAUCCUGGAU